GUGCGCGCUUAAAUUAACGUUAUAGCUACUGGUGGUUACCUAGCAACUGACGUCAUUCACGCCAAGUUGUGUGUUGUGUGCAGACGUCGCCAUUGUAAACAACGUCAACGGAUAACAUCCGGUUACAGUUAAUUAGUUCAAACUGGGCUAUAUUAUUUUAAUCAUGCCAAAAUGUUACUUAAAUGGUAUUCGAGGAUACAGAACAGGAAAAUACAAAAGCAAUACGG
Molecule: long non-coding RNA, 227 nt
Filed under: Mytilus galloprovincialis (Mediterranean mussel)
Lineage: Eukaryota; Metazoa; Mollusca; Bivalvia; Mytilida; Mytilidae
Source: RNAcentral